AUCACCUGGGAUUUUGUUAAAAAGCAGUUUCUUAUUCAGGGUGGAGACUAAGAUUCUGCCUUUCUAACAAGCUCUCACAUGAGGCUAA
This 88-nucleotide microRNA precursor is filed under the name Loxodonta africana (African savanna elephant). Its description in RNAcentral is "mir-544 microRNA precursor family". It matches the Rfam family "mir-544 microRNA precursor family". The record is from Rfam by way of RNAcentral. Lineage: Eukaryota; Metazoa; Chordata; Mammalia; Proboscidea; Elephantidae.